This 481-nucleotide ribosomal RNA is filed under the name uncultured bacterium. RNAcentral's name for it is "bacterial SSU rRNA". It matches the Rfam family "Bacterial small subunit ribosomal RNA", at positions 32 to 507 of the family's 1533-position model. The record is from RNAcentral.
AACGCUAGCGGCAGGCCUAAUACAUGCAAGUCGAGCGGCAAGUCGAGGAGUAAUCUGAGACCUAGAGCGGCGCACGGGUGCGUAACGCGUAUGCAACCUACCUCAUACAGGGGGAUAGCCCGGAGAAAUCUGGAUUAAUACCCCAUGGCAUCCCGGAGUCGCAUGGCUUCCGGGAUUAAAGAUUCAUCGGUAUGAGAUGGGCAUGCGUCUGAUUAGCUAGUUGGCGGUGUAACGGACCACCAUGGCAACGAUAGGUAGGGGUCCUGAGAGGGAGAUCCCCCACACUGGUACUGAGACACGGACCAGACUCCUACGGGAGGCAGCAGUGAGGAAUAUUGGACAAUGGGCGCAAGCCUGAUCCAGCCAUGCCGCGUGCAGGAAGAAGCAUCUAUGGUGUGUAAACUGCUUUUGUACGGGAAGAAACACUCCUUCGUGAAGGAGCUUGACGGUACCGUAAGAAUAAGGAUCGGCUAACUCCGUG